This 432-nucleotide ribosomal RNA is filed under the name uncultured bacterium. RNAcentral's name for it is "partial 16S ribosomal RNA". It matches the Rfam family "Bacterial small subunit ribosomal RNA", at positions 29 to 507 of the family's 1533-position model. The record is from RNAcentral.
ACGAACGCUGGCGGCAGGCCUAACACAUGCAAGUCGAGCGAGGACUUCGGUUCUAGCGGCGGACGGGUGAGUAACGCGUGGGAAUGUGCCCUUCUCUACGGAAUAGCCCUGGGAAACUGGGAGUAAUACCGUAUACGCCCUAUUGGGGAAAGAUUUAUCGGAGAAGGAUCAGCCCGCGUUGGAUUAGGUAGUUGGUGGGGUAAUGGCCUACCAAGCCGACGAUCCAUAGCUGGUUUGAGAGGAUGAUCAGCCACACUGGGACUGAGACACGGCCCAGACUCCUACGGGAGGCAGCAGUGGGGAAUCUUAGGCAAUGGGGGCAACCCUGAUCUAGCCAUGCCGCGUGAGUGAUGAAGGCCUUAGGGUUGUAAAGCUCUUUCAGCUGGGAAGAUAAUGACGGUACCAGCAGAAGAAGCCCCGGCUAACUCCGUG